UUAACUUAUUCUAUAUGACGCUCAGACAGCACACGACUCGGGUUUGUGGUCCUCUGGCAGGCACGGGCCAGCUUACCGCCGGCGGCCCCCGGGGGGGCGGGCCUGCCAAAGCAACAGUGGUACGGUAGUCAGGGGUUGGAGGUUGCCCGGAGGCAGCACUCGGUAAUGAUCCUUCCGCAGGUUCACCUACGGAAA
RNAcentral lists this unclassified non-coding RNA (195 nucleotides) under uncultured fungus. Its description in RNAcentral is "sequence contains ITS1". The record is from RNAcentral. Lineage: Eukaryota; Fungi.